UAAGGAAUAUUGCUCAAUGGGAGAAAUCCUGAAGCAGCAGCGCCGCGUGGAGGAUGAAGGGUCUAUGACUUGUAAACUCCUGUAAAGAAGGAGAAAAUUCCCAUUUGAUGGGAGAUGAUGGUACUUCUGGAGUAAGCCCCGGCUAACUACGUGCCAACAGCCGCGGUAAUAAGUAGGGGGCAAGCGUUGUACGGAUUUACUGGGUGUAAAGGGUGCUCAGGCCGAGUUGUAAGUCAGAGGUGAAAUCUUACAGCUUAA
Molecule: ribosomal RNA, 258 nt
Filed under: uncultured bacterium
Lineage: Bacteria
Description: partial 16S ribosomal RNA
Rfam family: Bacterial small subunit ribosomal RNA
Source: RNAcentral